UACGUAGGGGGCUAGCGUUGUCCGGAAUCAUUGGGCGUAAAGCGCGUGUAGGCGGUCCGGUAAGUCCGCUGUGAAAGUCGGGGGCUCAACCCUCGAAUGCCGGUGGAUACUGUCGGGCUAGAGUGCGGAAGAGGCGAGUGGAAUUCCUGGUGUAGCGGUGAAAUGCGCAGAUAUCAGGAGGAACACCUAUUGCGAAGGCAGCUCGCUGGGACGUAACUGACGCUGAGACGCGAAGGCGUGGGGAGCAAACAGG
RNAcentral lists this ribosomal RNA (253 nucleotides) under uncultured bacterium. Its description in RNAcentral is "partial 16S ribosomal RNA". It matches the Rfam family "Bacterial small subunit ribosomal RNA", at positions 524 to 776 of the family's 1533-position model. The record is from RNAcentral.